GCUUUCAACAUCCCCGUUCCGGGGCGUGGUUUUUCUUCCCAGAACAACUUCGCGGCCGGAACUGAAGGC
Molecule: small RNA, 69 nt
Filed under: unclassified sequences
Description: NAD+-I sequence
Rfam family: nadA riboswitch
Source: Rfam by way of RNAcentral